This 342-nucleotide RNase P RNA is filed under the name uncultured Bulleidia sp. Its description in RNAcentral is "Bacterial RNase P class B". It matches the Rfam family "Bacterial RNase P class B". From Rfam's summary of the family: Ribonuclease P (RNase P) is a ubiquitous endoribonuclease, found in archaea, bacteria and eukarya as well as chloroplasts and mitochondria. Its best characterised activity is the generation of mature 5'-ends of tRNAs by cleaving the 5'-leader elements of precursor-tRNAs. The record is from RNAcentral. Lineage: Bacteria; Bacillati; Bacillota; Erysipelotrichia; Erysipelotrichales; Erysipelotrichaceae.
CCCGGGCAGCCGCUGGUUCAGAAGUGAAUCAGAGGAAAGUCCAUGCUCGCACUGUCUGCGAUGACAGUAGUGAUUGUGCUGGUCCAAUCAAUAAGGCCAGGCAGCCGCAAGGCUGACGGCGGAUGAGAGCCUAAAGGCAUUGCCCAUGGCCGACGUCCAUAAAGUGUCACAGUGACGGAGCUGGUCCGGAAACGGGACAGGUGGAACGCGAUAAACCCCGCAAGCGAGAAAUCCAAAUUCGGUAGGAGAACUUCCAGAGGCGAACUGAAGCCCGCGGGAGCUGCGCAAGCAGAGAUAAAUGGCUGCCAUCCGGCAUUGCCGGAGACAGAACAUGGCUUACAG